Non-coding RNA from Heligmosomoides polygyrus, 75 nucleotides. Lineage: Eukaryota; Metazoa; Nematoda; Chromadorea; Rhabditida; Heligmosomidae. The record is from Rfam.
GCUUUGGUGGUGUAAUGGCGUAGAGCAUUCCAGCCCGGUCAGCAGGAGGAGCGGGUUCGAGUCCCGCCUGGCGCU